UUACAAAAUCUAAUUAAUACCAAUCCAAAUAACCCCUAAAUUAGGGAUUUCUUCAAUUCCCCUCCCAUUGUCCGCCGGUUACACAAGCCAUUAUCAAAACAAUUAUUUACAACAUUCAAUCCCAUGCAUACCUGAUAAUCAAUUUAUUACUUUAUACGACCCCCUUAAAAUGAUCGACUACAUAAAUCUCGAGAUAGGUUGUCUGUUGUCACCUUCCCAAGUUUCUCCAUUUUUUUUCUUGAGCAUACUCUCUGAAGAAUACCAGGUGUAAUAUAUGCAAAUAAAUGCAAUCUAUCCACUACCCAGGGAAUCUCCGCCUUGGAAAAUAUUCUUGAAAUGCUAGAAGUACUAUUGAUCUAACCAAAGCUAUGCAUGUAUUUGUAUCACAUAGGACAAAUUUGUUGUUGAUGAUAGUGGCUUUGACAUCCGAAAAAAAUAGCAAAUUGGUUUAGAUGGUAAUGGAUUGGGCCUCUGAAUGGAUUUGCUUUGAAUGUGAGUCUCUCAUGGAUUAGGAUCCCAGUUGCCAAUUCCAAAUUUAGCUGCAGCUAAGAACAAUUUGAUAAAAUAGGUACAAGAAGUGUAGAGCAGAAGUGGCACAAUUCAUGAGAAGCAAUGAGCUGGGCUAAACCUUGCCCACUUUAUGAAAUUAUAAAGCCACCAGAUUUGGCAUGAUUUCAUUGGAAUCAAUCAUCCUUCUUCGUAUGAUUAACUCAACAAUCAGAUUUUGGAAGAAAAUAAUGUAGGAAAUGCAGUUGCCGCUCUAUGGCUAGCAUCAAAAGCAAAGGUAUCAUAUUGAAGUAUGCAAACCAUUUUCUUAUUUGCUCAAAUGUUUUGUUUUUUUUAUAAAUUUUAAAGUCUGGGAUUUCAUUUUUAAAUCCAAUGAAAGAAAUUUUGUUACUGAAAAAAAUAUUAAACAGGUUCCAUUGUUUGGUAACUUGGUAGUUGCAUUUGGUCCAUUUUAAUCCUAUCGUUCUAAUGGCCAAUAGCCAUAACUUUUGCAAACCUAUAUACACAUUUUCUGUUGACUCCAUAUCGAACACCAAUGACAAAUUUACAAAAAUUGUGUACUUCAGCAUAUUUUGUUCGUCACUCAUUAAUGUUACCGUAUUUUUCAUUUUUGUUUUGAGUAGUACCCGGUCUAAACUUAUAUUGCAGUGAUGCACGGUUACAUGUAUAUUGUUUUCUGCUACACAUUUUUAAACUUUUCUAGAAAACUAAUUUUAUGUCGGUGAAAUCAAUUCAGUUCAAUUUGUAUUCCUGAAAUUCACCUUGAUAGUGUGAUUGCUAGAUGGAAGGAGUUGUUAAAUUUGAACCUCCUUUAUUAAUUUGUUUUGUUUUCAGUUUAGCUGGGUUGUUUUUCCAGCUGAAUGUUUCUUGGGGUUUCCUUUGUAGCUUUGUUACAUAUCUUGGGAUGGGUCUGUAAAUGUUUGCAGGUUCUUGCUAAUUAAUAUAUUUUUCUUUAUCCGGCAAAAAAAAGAAAGAAAUUAAUUCAGUCCAGUUCUUUCAAACGAAGAUUACGCUUCUCUUAAUAGAUUGAAAUCUACUGUUAGACUCUUUCCAUGUUUCGUUGCAGUAGUUGGUGUGAGAUUCAAGAGCUAAAUAUCAGUAAUUGACAAACCUGAAGAAGGCAAAUGAUGAGAGUCAUCCAGGAUAUCCACUCUGAAAGCUUCAUUUGCAAUUGUAAGCCACAUUCGGGAUUCAACUGAAUUAGCGAGAGGUAGAAAACAGGGCGAGAUCAAAGUAUUCAAAUACAUGUUAAUUUUCGGUGCAUAUCAUUUUGGGUAGAGGAUUUGGGAAGAUAGCAUGUUAUGGAUUACUCUCAACAUUUGGAACUGAUUGGUUCAUUGUAUGCAUUUUUUUUUUAGAGAAUUUAGUCGUUGCAAAGGUGGCACAAAAAUACGAUACGCUAAAGAAAGACAUUCCGUAGGUCUGGGAUAUUUGAAUUUUAAGUGUUUGAUAAGUAGGUGACCUGUUAUGAUAAAGUCAUUGGAUGUACUUCACCAGUCUGUGUUCGGGUUCACUUCUCUCCUUGCUCGAUUGAAUUUCGGGUAGACGUAAUAUGUGAUCUACACAUCUCUCCCGCAAUAGAAAAAGAAUCAAGUGACUGCUGCAGAAAGACAUCAGAAGAAAGUUUGUAACUCAAGGUUCCAUGUAAAAUCACCAUUUAACUUAACUUUGAAGAUGCCGAUCAAAAAAAAAAAUCAAACUUAACUUUGAAGAUGCAUGCAUAAUAUCGUAAGCUCUUGAGACUUUGUCAGAGCGUUUGAUGUACUAUAAAACUUAUUUUGUCACCAACAGAAUUUUCUCUCAAGUCUUAUGCUGUAGAUUAGGCUAAA
Molecule: long non-coding RNA, 2336 nt
Organism: Papaver somniferum (opium poppy)
Lineage: Eukaryota; Viridiplantae; Streptophyta; Magnoliopsida; Ranunculales; Papaveraceae
Exons: 5
Source: RefSeq, a predicted model, not a curated record